AUGCAGUCGAGCGAACAGACAAGGAGCUUGCUCCUUUGACGUUAGCGGCGGACGGGUGAGUAACACGUGGGUAACCUACCUAUAAGACUGGGAUAACUUCGGGAAACCGGAGCUAAUACCGGAUAAUAUUUCGAACCGCAUGGUUCGAUAGUGAAAGAUGGUUUUGCUAUCACUUAUAGAUGGACCCGCGCCGUAUUAGCUAGUUGGUAAGGUAACGGCUUACCAAGGCGACGAUACGUAGCCGACCUGAGAGGGUGAUCGGCCACACUGGAACUGAGACACGGUCCAGACUCCUACGGGAGGCAGCAGUAGGGAAUCUUCCGCAAUGGGCGAAAGCCUGACGGAGCAACGCCGCGUGAGUGAUGAAGGUCUUCGGAUCGUAAAACUCUGUUAUUAGGGAAGAACAUACGUGUAAGUAACUAUGCACGUCUUGACGGUACCUAAUCAGAAAGCCACGGCUAACUACGUGCCAGCAGCCGCGGUAAUACGUAGGUGGCAAGCGUUAUCCGGAAUUAUUGGGCGUAAAGCGCGCGUAGGCGGUUUUUUAAGUCUGAUGUGAAAGCCCACGGCUCAACCGUGGAGGGUCAUUGGAAACUGGAAAACUUGAGUGCAGAAGAGGAAAGUGGAAUUCCAUGUGUAGCGGUGAAAUGCGCAGAGAUAUGGAGGAACACCAGUGGCGAAGGCGACUUUCUGGUCUGUAACUGACGCUGAUGUGCGAAAGCGUGGGGGAUCAAACAGGAUUAGAUACCCUGGUAGUCCACGCCGUAAACGAUGAGUGCUAAGUGUUAGGGGGUUUCCG
RNAcentral lists this ribosomal RNA (799 nucleotides) under Staphylococcus epidermidis. RNAcentral's name for it is "bacterial SSU rRNA". It matches the Rfam family "Bacterial small subunit ribosomal RNA", at positions 55 to 836 of the family's 1533-position model. The record is from RNAcentral. Lineage: Bacteria; Bacillati; Bacillota; Bacilli; Caryophanales; Staphylococcaceae.